This 427-nucleotide ribosomal RNA is filed under the name Corynebacterium sp. oral taxon B00. Its description in RNAcentral is "bacterial SSU rRNA". It matches the Rfam family "Bacterial small subunit ribosomal RNA", at positions 28 to 448 of the family's 1533-position model. The record is from RNAcentral. Lineage: Bacteria; Bacillati; Actinomycetota; Actinomycetes; Mycobacteriales; Corynebacteriaceae.
GACGAACGCUGGCGGCGUGCUUAACACAUGCAAGUCGAACGGAAAGGCCCCCACCUUGGUGGGGGUGCUCGAGUGGCGAACGGGUGAGUAACACGUGGGUGAUCUGCCCUGCACUUCGGGAUAAGCUUGGGAAACUGGGUCUAAUACCGGAUAGGACCAUGGUUUAGUGUCUCAUGGUGGAAAAAUUAUUGUUUUGGUGCAGGAUGAGCUCGCGGCCUAUCAGCUUGUUGGUGGGGUAAUGGCCUACCAAGGCGUCGACGGGUAGCCGGCCUGAGAGGGUGGACGGCCACAUUGGGACUGAGAUACGGCCCAGACUCCUACGGGAGGCAGCAGCGGGGAAUAUUGCACAAUGGGCGCAAGCCUGAUGCAGCGACGCCGCGUGGGGGAUGACGGCCUUCGGGUUGUAAACUCCUUUCGUUAGGGACGA